UACGUAGGGACCAAGCGUUGUUCGGAUUUACUGGGCGUAAAGGGCGCGUAGGCGGCGUGACAAGUCACUUGUGAAAUCUCCGGGCUUAACUCGGAACGGUCAAGUGAUACUGUUGUGCUAGAGUACAGAAGGGGCAAUCGGAAUUCUUGGUGUAGCGGUGGAAUGCGUAGAGAUCCGGAAGAACACCGGUGGCGAAGGCGGUCUGCUGGGCAGUAGCUGACACUGAGGCGCGACAGCGUGGGGAGCAAACAGG
Molecule: ribosomal RNA, 253 nt
Filed under: uncultured bacterium
Lineage: Bacteria
Description: partial 16S ribosomal RNA
Rfam family: Bacterial small subunit ribosomal RNA
Source: RNAcentral